UGAUGAGCAGUGCCACGUCCGCACCCAGGAUCCGAACCAACAAAACACUGGGCCGCCUGCAGCGGAGUGCGUGAACUUAACCACUUGGCCACGGGGCCAGCCCCAAGGUGGUUUUAUUUUUAUUUAUUUAUUUUUUUUAAGAUUGGCACCUGGGCUAACAACUGUUGCCAAUCGUCCUUGUUUUUUUUUUAAGGAUUGGCACCUGGGCUAACAAAUGUUGCCAAUCUUUAUAUCUUAGUUGCAGGUCCUCCUAGUUGUGGGAUGUGGGAUACCGCCUCAACGUGGCCUGACAAGCGGCGCCAUGUCCGUGCCCAGGAUCCGAACCCUGGGCCGCCGCAGCAGAGCGUGCAAACUUAACCACUCGGCCACGGAGCCGGCCCCUGGAGGUGGUUUUAAUUGUGUGUGAUGACGAACUGUGGCCUCUACCCUUACAACAGAGGAAAAAGUAAUCAGGAAGGAGCGGGUGCUUAAAGAUUAGAGUGCACUGUGGAGCUGCUUGGAUCCUCCUCAGAGUGACUCUCCAUCUGGAGUUUGUGUGUCAGUAUCUUCUGUAUCAGAAGAGAAUGACCUUUUUCUCUGCACGGUAAAUUUCAUGGUGGGAUCGUGGAAUCAAAAUGGGAGAUGUUUAAGGGUCCUCAGAAGUCAUUUAGCACAAACCCUUCACUCACAGAUGAAGAGAUUGCCAGAAGUUGGUUUUGGCCAAGUUUACUGGAUUAUUUAUUGAAUCUCUGGUCCAGAAUUUAAUGUUCUUUGAUACUGGCCCUCUCCUCUGGAACAUUCUCUCUUACAAGGUCAUGAACAGAG
RNAcentral lists this long non-coding RNA (804 nucleotides) under Equus asinus (donkey). RNAcentral's name for it is "lncRNA (ENSEASG00005026340.1)". The record is from RNAcentral. Lineage: Eukaryota; Metazoa; Chordata; Mammalia; Perissodactyla; Equidae.